UCCUUCCUCCCUCCCAUCAGCCUUCUCCCGCAGGCCCUCAAGGGGCCUGUCCCCGCUUAGCACCCCUCCCGGAACUGUGCAUUCUGCCUUUCUGGGGCUGCUCUUGACCGUUGCCUUCAACCGCCGUUGGAAUUUUCUCUCGCUAAAAUUCUCAGCAGUUGGUGUCCUGGUUCUGCAGCCAAGUGGGCUGGACUAUCAUGCCUCAAGGACGCGGUCCAGACCUUCGUGUGGGGACCCAGCAGCAAGCAUGCUGGAAAUGCCCAGUGAACUUGUUGAUAAAUGAUUCAAUUAUGAACUUAAUUCCCAGCAUGGGUUCUGGGCCAGUCAGGGCUGCAUAUGACACCCUCUUGUCACUGCCUGAUGAUGGUUUUCCAGGGGCUCUCUCUGCCUUAGCUGAGGAAAAAGUUGAUGUAGUGGCCUUGCCAGGCCCAGCAGAUCAGGUUUUUGGGGCCUGGGAGACUUUGGCCCCCUCGUAUGGCCCCUCUCCUGUCCUCCCUGGGCUCUUGUGUGUGUCUUUCCCAGCAGGCACCCGGCCAAGUGCAUUCAGCUCAGCGAUGGGGCAGGGCUGUAUGGAGAUUUAUGUGCUGAAUUUAAUAACCUUUCUCCCUUCUCAGGGCGACAGAGGAAACCAGUAUCCCCAAGGUGGAGGUGUCCCCUUCCCCUGGGAGCCCUGCCUCCUCACAGGCUGCCAUGCUUUGUUGUCCCUGUGACUCACCAAGUGUGUGCAGAGGCUGGAGGGUGGGCAGGGGCUGGGAGGGGCUGGAGAAGAGGCCGGUCUUGCUUCUGACACUCGAACUCCUCAGAAUUGCCACCUGCCCUGUGUGUCAGCACUGAGAGGGCAUUUUAGAGAUGGACAGAGGCCUGGCCUUUUCCAUUUUUUGAGUACCUUGAAUAUUUGAAAAAAGAAGAAAAAUGCCAGAAUUGGUACAAAAAAUUGUAGGUGGUAUAUUCUAUUUAGAUGCUUAAUAAAAAAAUGCUUCUAAACACUUAUAAAAAUACAAUGGCUACGAGGACCCUCAUUUGGAGAGAAUGAUUCCAUAGAUCCAUAGACCAUAGAUUCACAGUCUAUGAUUUGAGGUCGUUUGUGGAUGAGAUUCAGAAUGCGUGGCUCUCCUGGUCCUCUGCUCCCCUUCACCUCCGUGUUAGAUAUGGGUGCCUUUGGCGGGGCAGGGUGGGGGGUCUCCUGCUGGAGGGCUCGGGGCCCCACUCUUCUACAGGACAAAAGCCUUCAGAUCAACCUUGUGCCCCUGGGGAGAGGAGUGGUGCCCUCAGGCUGGCCUGGCCUGGGCAGGGAGGGUCUCCUUGCUGGGCUGGGGUGAACAGCAGGUGGAGGGACACAACCUGAGUCAUCCGUGGGACACGAUGCCCCCUUCUCCUGAUGUCCUCCUCCUCCAGCCAGGGGCUCAUCACUGGGGUAUCUGGGUUACCUUGGUUACGACAUGGGAAAAGGAAGUUUUGUGAAUGGCUUCUCCUUGGGUGCUUUCAGACUUAAAUAGCUCCAUCAUUUGUGGCCAGCUUUCUGCUGGUUUCCUUCUGUGAUGAUAGCAGCCGCCAGUUCGCCUCAUGACAUGCCUACAUCAGCCAGGCAUUGUGUUAAGAGCUGAAAAUACAGCGGUUAUUCACGCUGGCUGUCCUGGGGGCAGGGGAGCUGACCGUUGAUUUGGGAGAAAGGCACAAGUGUGUGAGUCACCUCCAUAUAAUGAAGUGAGCACUCUUCUUGGAUUAUGACAGAACCAUAGAGGAGAGCCGCCCACCCAGGGCGGGGCAUUCCUGAGAAGGUUCUGGAACAGAGAGGGAGGCUGAGCUGAAUCCUGAUGAAGAAAGGACUUAGCCAGGCUGGAGUGGGUUGUGAGAAGAUCCAAGGGACGGGGGCACCCAGCUUGGGUCGAGGUAUAGAGGUGUGACAGAGCAAGGGUUGAGAAAAUGGGGGCCUGAGUAUCCAGGAAACAAGUAGGGGUGGAUGUGGAGUGGGAAUGAGGGGGCAGGGGUCUUAUCUCUCAGACUGGUGAGGAGCAAGAGAGCGAGGGGGUCCGGUGGGUGUUUUGGAUGAAACUCUUUAGUUGCAGUAUGAAGAGACAGAUCUCAGUGGGGGAAGGGGGGGUAGGGCUUGACUGGAGGAGGUAGAUGAUUGUAUGUGUAGGGGUGGCCCUGGGGAGAAGCCAUCAAACUAAGAAAGGAACAGAGUUGGGUGACAAGGUGUCUUGUGGCCUCAGGGGCAAUGGAAGGGAAUGUAGCUGGGCCAGGCUGAUGUUGGGCAGCAGCACUCAAGACCCUUCCAUAAUAGGAGUGAGGCAGCUGGGAGGGUGAGAGGAGCAGUGGAGAGGAGAAAUCCAUGGGGACAGAUGUGUAAGGGACAGGGGUAGGAGCCAGAUGGGGGCAGGGGCUGGGAAUGGGGGAGAGGAGAGCUUGGUGGAGAAUCCAGAGGGCACGAUUGGGUGGUCUGUCCCUCGUGUACCCACUUGGGCAUUCUGUCCCACCAGCAAGUGCAGGAACUCUGGGGUCACUGACCUGAGGCUUCAGGGUUGAUAUCUCCCUCCAGUGCCUGCCUAACACUGUGCCUGACACACAGUAGGUACUAAAUUAAUGUUAAGUCCACUGAACACAAAUACAGCAUGGAGGCCAGUGAGAGGAGGGCUGGAAACAUCCAGUGGCUUUGGCAAUGGAGGCGGGGCAUUUCUGGGGAGUGUUUCUGGGGGACAGGUGGAAGCGGAAACCAGAUUUCUGGGGAGUAAGGGAGGAGGUGGAGGAGGCAAUUUUUUUGGGUGGAGUUGGGUGAGUCAAGGGGUGAGGAAAUAGAAGACAAGGAGUCUGUCUAUUCUUUCUAGAAGCUUGGCCAUGACAGGAAGGAGAGGAAGGGCAAGACUCAUGGUUGAAGCACUUUUCAAACAUUAACAGUAACUUUUAUUGCUUCCUCCAUCCCUACAAAGAUUGGGCGUUCCUUACAGAAAAUCUAGGAAAUGCAUAUAAGGAGGCAAAAAAAGUAACAAAUAAAAAAAAAAAGAAAAUCGCCCGUUAAUCCCAUCCAUUGGCAAUAUACGCUGUUAAACCUUGCAGUCCUUGCCUUCCAGACUUUGUUGCUGUAGUUUUUUUUAGUAGAAAUGGGUGUCGUGCAUCACAUUUCUUACUUUGCGACAUAUCUUUUUCACUAUCUCUUGUAUAACUUCCUCUGUCCGAGCUACUAUUCCUCCAAAACAUCCUUUAAAAUUUUAUCUAUCUACCUAAAUGGUCCAAAUGGUUCAAACCUCAACACAUACAAAAGAGGGUUGAUUCAGUGAGAAGUUGCCUUUUAUUGCCUGCCCCUGAGCUACCGAGUUGGCCUUGGAGGCAACUGGUAUUUCCUUCUUUCGUCCAAUAUGGUGAUUAGAUACUAUUCCAAUGCAUGUGUCUUUCAAAACUUAUUUAAACAACUUCUCAUCUUAGAUAUUUAGACGUGACUUAGUUUUAUUUUGCUAUUAUACAUCAGGCUAUAGUAAGUCUUCUUCUAGCUAAAUCAUUGUGCACAUACCUUGUCUUCCUAGACUACAUUUCCAACAGUGGGAGUUCAGGGUCAGAAGGUAGAAAGACAACUACAGAAAACUUUAAAUACCAGGUUUUCCCUCCAAGGAAAUCAACGUCCAUUGGCGUUCCCCUCCGCAGAGCAUGAGAGUCUUUCUAUCCCCACCUGCCCCUCCACCCGUGUUAUUAAAACUCACUUCCUCCACCUGUGCCAAUUCAGUGUUUUUUUUUGUUGUUGUUGUUUUGUUUUUUUUUAAAGGUGCACGUGAGGGCCUCUAACCGUCACUGUGAGUUGCAUUUUGGGAGAAACAAAUGGCAGCAUGGGGGACGAUAGGGGACCAGGUGUUGCAAAGGCAGUUCUGAGCCUGGAAAGGGCUGACCUGGCGGGAGGACAGAGAAGAUUGAGCUGAGGAGUGAGCUGGCUGGCUUGUCAGUGAGCACCAAGCCCGGGGACAAGGCCCUUCUUCAUUUCUAGAAACCCCGCCCUGGCCAUGAGGAGCAGGAGGGCCUCCAGAGACCUGGAAGAAUUUGUGGGUGAGGUCCAGGGACAACUGGUAUAUGGUCUGGGCUGUUUUUUGUUCUUCUUUCAAGAGGCAAUCCUGUGGGUUCUUUGCUGACAGCAUCCGGGGCGGGGUUCCAGGAACAGCACGGAGCUGGGUGCAUGCUCUUGGGUGAGCAGAGUCCGCCUCUCCCUUGACUUUGCCUUGGGGUGACUGCAUGUGGCCUUGUGCUCCCAGAUGCAAGGCUGCAUGAUUCCCGAUUGGGGAAGAGAAGCAAAGGGCUGUUAGAGACACGCACCCAGCUGGAGCGAGCGCGGAGAAAAUCUGCCUCACCCUCAUUCAUACAUUCCCGGGCUUGCAAGGUCAGCACUGGGUGUCGGAUGGGCUGUUUCCUUUCGCAUUCACCCUUCCUUAGGGACCCUCUGGAAAGUCCCUGCUUUUCCCAUGCUGCCCCCAAGGGGAGCUGCUUCUCUCUGGUUGUUUUGCAUACAGCAGACAUCAGGCCUUUCUCCAGACUAUUUAGUGUGUGUGUGUGUGUGUGUGUGUGUGUGUGUUUCCCCAAAAGAGAAACAAAGAAAAUCGUUUGGUUUACAGUCUGUAGUUACUUGUCUCUGGGUUAGGAUCGCUGGAGGUUGCCCCCGCCUCGCGUCCAGCUUGACUUCCAAGUUUCUGAGGCCACAUUUAGCCCCUACUCCCCACCCCUGAGCUCCGUCAAGGACUGUCAACUCCCUUGAAAUUGACACCCCAGAGAGUUGGAAUGGGAAUCCUCACUCCCUGUAAAUUUGGAGUUGUAUUUUGUUGCUGCAGCUUGCUCAUUUCCUGGUUAUUCUCAUGGAUAAUUCUUGGGUUAUCCUUGAAUUGGAUAUAUAUGUAUAGAUAUAUCUUCUUUCCCCCCCCAAGGCCCUGUUUUUGUGUGUGUCAGGCAUCAUUUCCAGAGAGCCCACACUCCACCUAGAUUCUAUAUUGGUCUCUGCAUGCGGGGUUUAGGGCCGCUGUUACCCAAUUACCACAAACCAGGUGACUUAAAACAACAGAAAUGUAUUGUCUCACAGUUCUGUGAGUCAGAAGCCAGAAGUCAGGGCAUCAGCAGAGUUGGCUCCUUCUGGAGGCUCUGAGGGAGAAUCUGUUCCAUGUCCCUCUCCUCGCUUCUGGUCGUUGCUGGCAACCCGUGGCUUUCCCUGUCUUGUAGAAAUAUCACUCCAGCCUCUGCCUCUGUCUUCAUAUGGUGUUUUCCUCUCUGUAUGUGUCUUUGUGUGUCCUCUCCUUAUAAGGACAAAAGUCACUGGGUUUUAGGGCCCACCCCAAUCCAGUAGGAUCUCACCUUAACUAAUUACAUUUGCAAAGACCCUAUUUCCAAAUAAGGUCACAUUCUGAGGUGUUCUGGGUAGAUAUGGAUUUUCAAAGGUCACCGGUAAACCCACCACAGUCUCUUCACCUUCCGACCCUUCCUUCCACUGAUCCGUCCCAUGCACCUCACCAGAGCCAUUUUUCUCAAACCUCCUUAGCAGGAGCAACCAACCCUUAUGCCAAAAAUCUCCAGUGACUUCCCGCUGCCAACAGAAUAAAGUCCUAUCUCUUUAGCUCAACUUCAGAAGACUCACCAUAGUGUUGCUCCAGCGAUCUUUUUCACGUUCCUUGUCUCCACUCUCCUUCACACAUUCUCCAGCUGCAUCUGGAAGGUCUUCUGUGGCAUGGCACAUACUGUAAAGGGCUCUUGUCUUCUGCUAGGGCCUCUGUCCCUUGCCUAGAUGCUCUCCUUUUCAAGCAUCCCUGUCAUGUCAUAGCCUUUUUUCUCUGAUGAGAACAUCCCUGGCCAGUCGAGAUCAAGGGCUCAGUGCAGACCACAGACCGACUUCGAUGCCACCCCCUUCCUUCCCCCAUCCUCAGUGGCGAGCGAUGCUACUCUCUGCCAAGUGGAAUUUUUAUCCAAAGAUAAGCCUGUGUCUAAUACGUCUUUGGGUCUUUGGAUUGGAAAAUGAUGCAUUGAAUCUUGCGACUUCUUGGCAAAUGACUGUGGGUGCCACUGCUGUGAGCACAUGAGGGGGGUGAUUUGAAUCUGAAGCAACCAGGAUGCUCAUGGGUCAGUGCAUGAACUCCAUGCCUAUAGCCCCACUAGGUCUGAAGCAGAUGAAGAUCCCCUGUGUGGAGAUAAAAUGAGGGGAAGGAGAGAAUGGCUGCUGUAUUGAGAGUCAAGGGCAGUGGUCUUUCAAAGGAAGACGUAGGAGAAGCAGAUCCCUAAGGUUGGGUACUGAGGGGCACUGGGCUCAGUGGGAAGGGUUGUAGUGAUAUCCAGCAGGCCCCCUCCCCAUCCUCCCUGAUGGACGGUUGGUGAGCAAGAUGGCAGGUGGGACAGGGCUAGGGAGGGAGGUAAAAUGGAGACAUAGGGUACAAUGAACAGAAUGGGUUCCAACACCUUUCACUUCCAGCUUUCACAGAUGCCCUGAACACUUGAAAGCAACAAGGAAGUUUUCAUUGCAAAGAGUGAUGCUGGCAUCUUUUUCUAGCCCCUCCCAAGUGGCACUGAUUGACCAUUGACAACUGGCUCUUCAAACUCUCUUCCAAAGCAUUGCAUCUCUGUGGAGACACAUGAGGAAUGUAGUUCAUCUGCAAGUAGGUUUCCUCUAAACUGUCUUGCCUCAUGUGCUCUGUCUUUUUCCUCUGCUCAUACCUCAGUUGCAUCAAAGCCCCAUAGGCAUUGUCCCUGGGGAUCAAGAAGCAGUCCACCCCAAAAGGAAUAGCAGAGACAUAAAGAAUUGGAGUGAGAGAGAGUUCUGGGCAGAUGCUCAAGGUGUGGGUGGCAGGUUGAGCCCACUGAUUUGUGACAUUCUGCAUUUCAGGUACUGGGACAUUUCUAACAUCAAAAUCUUUGAAGCCACCAGGGCUCUUUCUUGCUGGGUCUUGGCAAUACUCCUUCAUGUCAUAGGUUUAGAAACUCAGGCUAAAGAAAGUACCCAGGGAAAAGUGCUUGCCCCUGGAAAUGUUUAUGAUAGCUCUGCUCCUUCCUCUAUUGACUCAUAACUCUGCAUGCAUGGUCUCACCUGGCUGGGUUCAGAAAAUAGUUAUCUUAUUAUAAAAACAGUAAACCCUUGACUCCAUUAAAUAAUUAUAGCUUCUUAGACAUCCCAUCUAAAAAGUUUCCCAUUUUUCUUCCUGACAAAUUGCCAAUUUGUGCAUUUUAAAGCAGAUGGAUUUAGUAAAAUUUCCUUUGUCAGUAAGUAUUCUGUGCAGCAAAUCUGUUUCCAGGUCCUAAAGGCGACUUUGCUCAGGUUCAAGCCAACAACCUCCACCCCCCAACCAAACAAAAAGGAAUGACCCCAGUUUGAGUUAGUCGUAUCCAUAUACAUGAAGAAUGUCCAUGAGUUUGAAAUGUUUUAAGAAUCAUGAAGGGCGGGGGAGAGGAGAAAAGAGGAAAAGGAUGAAUUGCUUAUGAUUCUGCUCUUAAGGAGUGAUUUUAUGUCACUGCUCCCUGCUACUGGAAGUUGCCAUCCACCUCUGACCAAAGUACAAAGAACAUUUGACACAACAUAAAACAUGAAAAGAACUUUCAGUGGCUUAGUGUCCUGGCUGUGACUCAAAUGUGCAUGCCCAGGCAGGCUCCACAGUGGAGGUCUGGCUCCAUUGCUCUACUCUAGGAGGCUGAAGCAGAUGUGGUCCAUUAAUAUCACUCUCUUGCCAAUAGCAGUUUCCAUCGAUGGAAGCUGGACUGAUCCAACUGUAGUCUUACUUCUGAAACAUCCAAGGAUUCUAGGUAGCUGCUUCUGUGUUUCUUUUUCCAACUAGACAGUGAAUUCCUUGAGGGAAAGGAUAAUGUCCAUUUGGUUUGCAUCUGUAGACAUCAGCUCAGUAAUUGGCACAUAAAGGCACUCUGAUAAAAAAAAUUUUUUUUUAAUGAAAUGGUUUAAAAACAGCAAGAUCCUCUGUAAAAGUAGGACAUUAUACUCCUCUAGUUUUCUUCAGAGCAUAUAAAUAUUUGAUAGGAGGUUGCACCAGGACUGGGAUUCUGACUCCUAGUGGUGCCGGGAUCUGGGGCUCCGGGACUUAGAGACAGAAGAGAUGGAACUCUGGUUCCGUCAAGGACAAAGCUGAUGGGAAACUGUGGCAUGGGUGUUAGGAGGGAGGGUGAAUUAGUUUCCUAUAGCUGCUGUAACAAAUUACACCAAAAGAUGAGUGGGUUAAAACAACACCAACUUAUUAGCUUAACCAUUCUGGAAGUCAGAAGUUCAAAAUGAGUCCCCCGGGCUAAAAUCAAGGUGUUGACAAGGCUGUGUUCCCUGGGGAGGCUCUAGGGGAGAAUAGUUUUCUUGCAUUUUCCCAUUUCUAGAGGCCAUCUGCAUCGUUUGGCUCAUGGCCUCUGCCUCCGUCUUCAAAACCAACAUCUUCAAAUCUCUCUCUGACUCUUACCCUGACCCUCCUGCUUCCCUCUUUGACUUAUAAGGACCCUUGAGAUUACAUGGGGCUCAACUGGUUCCCCAUCUCAAGGUUACCUGAUUAGCAGUCUAAAUUCCAUCUGCAACUUUAAUUCCCCUUUUCCAUGUAACAUAACAUAUUCACAAAUUCUGAGGAGUAGGGCAUGGAUGGCUUUUGAGGGGAGGCAUUAUUCUGUUUACCACAGAAGGGCACCUGGGUGGUCAUGGAGUCCAGCAUCCUCGUGCUACACUUGAGGAAACUCAAGCUCCAAGAGUUUAUUGGAAUUCCAACUGUUUUCCUCCACAGGAGAGUUAAGCUCACUCUAAGGCCCGACCGUCUGCACCCAGAGCCCUAAGCAAGACUCAGCAGGAGGCCCCUGGCCUCCUCUUCCUCCAGUUCUUUCUUCUACACCUGUGCCUCAUUGCUUUCCCACCCUGUCCAGGGGAGGGUGCCAGGGUGUGUGUGUGUGUGUGGGUCACAGUACACCUGACCCAUGUCCAGACUGGAUGGAGAGUGGCCAUUUCAUGGGGCCAGAGAAUGGAUUGGACCCAUCCAUAAGAGCCCUGUCAUUUUUGCAGAAGCAUGAGCUCUUAGAAGUACAGCUUCUGGAGAGAGGGGAGGAUAGGUGAUGGGUAUUGAAGAGGGCGUCUUUUGGGAUGAGCACUGGAUGUUGUAUGGAAACCAAGUUGACAAUAAAUUUCAUAUAUUAAAAAAAAAAAAAGAAGUACAGCUUCUGGAGCCACCUGCGUGGCUCAGUGACUUAAGUGUCGGACUUCAGCUCAGGUCAUGAUCUCACAGAUCCUGAGUUCAAGCUCCACAUGGGACUCACUGCUGUCAGCUCAGAGCCCACUUCAGAUCCUCUGUAUCCUCUCCCCCUCGCCCCUCCCUCUCCUCUUUCUCAUAAACAAAUAAACAUUAAAGAAAAAAAGAAUGGGUGUCUGCAUGGCUCAGUUGGUUAAGUGUCCGACUUUUGAUUUUGGCUCAGGUCCUGAUCUCACGGUUUGUGUGUUCGAACCCUGUGUUCGACAGGGCUUCUGCACUGACAGCGUGGAGCCUGCUUGUGAUUCUGUCUCUCCUUCUCUCUGUCCCUCUCUCUCUCUCUCUCUCAAAAAUAAAUAAAACGUUUUUUAAAAAAAAGAAAAAGAGAAAAAAAAGAAAAAAAAAAAGAAGUACAUCUGCCAGUUGCCUAACUAGGACACUGAACUCAAGGGACUUGGGGCCUCAAGAAUCUGAAAGCCUGUAUUGUCCUUACUAGGAAGUCCAUAAAAGGGGGAACUAGUGGGUGAUCCCCAACUGGCUGGUUCACAACUGACACUGAUAUUGCUGCUGGGGCCGCUGCUGUGGGUUUCUCAGCCUGGAGACCCUGUUGGACCAUGGCCCAUUCUUGGCAAAAGAAGGUUCCGGCUGCCGAGUGUCCUUUGAGUAGAUGCGGGUGAUUCUGGCCCCAGAGCUCAAGUUUAAGGCAGUAGGUGGUCCAGGAGGCACAAGAGCAGGUCCCCGGUCAAGGCCGGGGCCAGAGGAGAAGACACAGGAGGAUUUACUGCAUGAGACAUUUACUAGGAAAGAGCAAACCACCAUCUGGGGGAGCAGAGGACCAGGGGACGGGACAGGUCUUAUUCCUAAAGUUCCCUCCUUUCAUGUCACUCCGUUCUGUGUAGCUGGCCAGCCCCUUUACCUUCACCACAGCCAACAAAAGCCUCUGGCCAAGGACACGAGGGCCCAGGACCUUGCUUGGAAUUCCUCAGAACCCUGGGAUGCAGCCAGUCUGGUGGGGGGAAGAUGGGGUGUUAAGGGUGGAUGGGACCACUGAGGAAGGCAGGCCAGGCCUUUGGAGGCAGUUGACAUGGCUCCGUGAAGCACAAGGGGACCAUGGCCCCCUCAGCGUAGGGCUAUAGAGUUCCCCAUAUGUCCCCUGGCAGCUGACAGGUGGAGACAAGAACCCUGACCCGAGAGGUGAGUGAAAAGAGAAGCAAGGUAUCUUCACCCAGGGGAGAGCCCAUGUCCUCUGGCUGAGUGCCUGGCGAGGUUGGGAUCACCAUGAGCAAGUUCUACUUUGAUUGAAAGUCUCUAACCCAGGAUUCUGGACCAAAACCUCAGCAUCCUCUGAAGGAGACACAGCUGAGGAUCCGAAAGGGCAGAGAGAGCUUGUGAGGAAACGGGUGCAGGUGAAACUGGGGAGAACAGGUGGAAAUGGGUCAGGGACGUGGCUGAGGCUGAGGUUGGCGGUUCCAGUGAUGAUGGAGGUCGAGGAAGAUGACGCGUCGGGGAUCAGGAUGUGCUUCUGAGACACAAUAUCGAGGAAGAAUGAGGUGGGGGUAUCGAUCAGCCUGAGGGAUAUUCCUUUUGCAGAUGGGCAGUGUUGAUGGAGCCCUGCCUUUUCAGCGGUGCUGAAAACUGGGCAGCCCCAGGGAGGAGAGAGGCCUUAUAUACUUUGUCUAUGCCUACAGCUGCAGACAAGAAGGCAGGGCACCCGCCUUUCCCCAGAAGAAUCAGUUGAGAAGGACAUAGCCGCUGCCCCUAGGGAAGCCCCUGCUUCCUUCCCGUCAGGGCCCUCCAAAGGCUGCACAACCCAGGCCCCCAGAAGUGAGCCCCCCUAAUGUGUAGUGGAAAAUGAAUCCUAAAGGAAGGCCAGACUGCCACCUGACGAGCACCCUAGACUGGAUGUCACUUGGAGCCUCCUGGGGCUCCGGUGCCCUGUGAAUCUCUUCCUCUUGGAACCUGGGCAACAGAUAUCUAGUGCCUUGCUGGGCCCCAGGCUCUCCUGCCAGCAGUGCCUGAGAUGGGAAGACUGAGAGCUAAGAUUCUCCUUUAGGAACUCAGUGUUCAAAAAUGUGCCAUGACCCAUGGUGGCCCUUUUUCUCUUGGGGCUCCAGAGAGCUUCUGAGCUGGACAGACAGGAAUAAGAGAACCCAGCAGAAAUGGAGGGAGAAGCAAGAGGUCCAGAGUCUGGGAAAAUGUCAUUGGAAAGUAGCUAGCACGGAAAUGUGAGUUUCCCACCCUCUACUAUUCUGAUAUUCUCAGGAGCUGGGAAGCUGGCAUAAAAAAUAGUCAAGGUUUUAAAGCUGCAAUGGACUAUAUUCUGUUUCUUUCAAAAUUCUUUUCACAUCCUCCCUGGCAGAGAGGCCUGCCUGCUUUCCUAUCAACACUGAAGAAUGUAUAGCAGCAUCUAUAUAUACAGCCUGAGGUGUGCUCCCAGAGCCUGAUGGUUGGAGCUGCCUCCCUGGCUCUUUCUUCCAAUUGAUGGAAUGGUGUCUGUAAAAAUGUUUUGAAAAUAUGAAAAGUGGCAAAUUGGCCUUCAUGACAAAUAGAACUUAAUGUAACAUAUUUUACACGUUAAAUCUCCACGAACAAAAGCAAUCUCUAAUGUUUUCUUUCUCAGGGCAAAUUUCUUGGCAUUUACAUACCUUCAGUGUUUUACUGUGAUCCUGGCUGGUGGGGGUGGGGAGUUAUCAUAAUAAAUAAAACAGCUUUCACCUGUA
Molecule: long non-coding RNA, 11881 nt
Organism: Panthera uncia (snow leopard)
Lineage: Eukaryota; Metazoa; Chordata; Mammalia; Carnivora; Felidae
Exons: 2
Source: RefSeq, a predicted model, not a curated record